UGUAGAGUUAGAUAAAUCUACAUCGUAGAGAGAUUAAACGGUAGAUGGGCGUCUACUGGGUGUAAAUUGCGUCAAUUUCACACCCGCUAUAAUCCCAACAACUCAUUCAAGUGAUAGUGGUCCCUGUUUGGGAUUCUCUUGUUGAUCAAUCACAGGAAAUUCAAUCUAUUCAAGCAGGCCAUACGGUUUUUAUAGCUUAUCAAACAAACGACGAGCUUCGAGAUCAAACACGAUCAGUGGAAAACAAAUGUAUGAAUUAAAAAAAAACACAUACAAUAGUCGGGCUUCCAUAGCACCGUAGAAGGUCAUUUCGACAAGGUGAAGUGCGUCGUCGUUCAAUAAUUAGCUGUCAAGGAUGAUUCUUUGCCAAAGAACUCCACGGCACGUUUCACCACCGCUGCUGGACCGGGUGGAUCUGUGAAACCUCCAUCGAGAUGUAUGAGUGAGUGUGUGCGUGAAGACGUCUAUCGAAUCCAAGUAAAUAAUUGCUUAUCCGCGGUACGGACAAGCAAAGUGGAAGCUAGAAAAACCUGCGCGAGACAGACGGUAGCCAGAAGUACCCAGCGUCUCCUUCGCUUCGUCCAGCACAACUUGGAAUGAUUUCCAUUUUUCAAUUCAUCGCUCGGCUAAAUAAACUGCGCAGCAGAGCCAAAAGGAGCUCCAAUCCAUCAGAGAUGAAUCAAGGAGUCGUUGAACGGUGGCCGCAAGGGGCUGGUUUAUCGAACUUGAACUUGACAAACUGUUUGAGGAGUCGCUUGCUGUGAUCAUUACAGGUGGUGGUGGAAGAAUCAAUUAAAUUAAUGGGUAAUUUAUUAUUCGGCUACGAUCGUAAAACGCGGUUUUCUUUCCUGGAGUUGGCAGUAACAAGUGCAAAUAUUUUACCUGUGUUUUUGCGUAUGAUUAAACGAACGAUUUGAUCUGUGGUAAAUGGAAACUAAUUCUGAAAAAAAAACAUACAUCGAAGGUCACUUUAUAUGGAUCGCAAAUCGGACACUCGACCACAAUCGAAGGCGUCACAUUUAUUGAGGACAUCAGGCAGACAGACCAGGCAAAUUAAAUUACAAUUCAAUGUACACUUACCGUAUCGAAGAACUCAGUGAACUUCGAGAAGUAGUACCACCAACAGGCGUGCACCAUCUGCGUGGGUGGCCGAGGUAAGGAUCCGGUCCGAUUGUGGUGAUAUUAUUAUUUUUUGUUCACAUUACGGUUCACGAACCGUUUCAAUUUACGACAGAGAGGAGAAAAACAACAUAAAAAGAGCAUACAUUAGUAAAAACAGCACAAGCAAAUGUCCCAGUUGGCACAUAGGGACAGAAGCCUAUUCAAGUGGAUCCUAAUACAGUUACGCACACGUUCGAGAUGGGACAAGAAAUGCCACAACUAAGUGUUGUGCAGGGAUGUAGACCUAAGCAAAGCUAAGAGCGGGUUGUCUUUAUUUUUUUAUUGGUAAUGACGUUGGAAGCUUAUAGAAGAAGGCUCAGAAUACAGUUGAAAGAAAGGGAACUGCAUAGUAGAGUUGCAACUAACUAUUUUACUGUUUUGUUUCAUAGAUAAGCAAAAAUGGUGAAAAAUAGUAGGAAAAAUGAAAAUUUAAAGUAUAAAAGUACAUUAAACAUAUAGAUAUAAAUAAGACAGGAUAGAGUUUGGUUUAAACUCUAGAUUUAAACUUGGUUUGGUUCUCUGAAAACACUAAAAGGCUGCAUUCUCUCAUUUUAAUUCUGAUUUGAAAUGCGGUUAUUUACAAAGUUAGUGUUAGUUGUAGAUAGUGUUUACAUGUUUAUGUCAGAUUAGUGUUGAUAUGCCACCGGAAAUGUGAAUUUAACUACAGUAUAAAGGUAUACGAAUGAAGUUGAACCUGUUACACCAGUGAUCAAAUGAAAGAUGGGAUAAAUUUGGCCGAAACAAGGUGCGAUAAAAACAACCCCACUUUUGACUAAACAAAACCCCUGAGUAAUAACAAUUGUACAAACACAACUACUCUAGUUAGAAGCUCAUCUGACUUUCGUUUUUUUGGUUUUGGAAAAAUGCGUAUGACUACUGAAUAAUUAUAGCUUAUUUUGAUUUGGCAAUUACAAAUAAAACUGAUAGGAAGCAGUUUUUUCUCACACAAACACAAAGAUACGAGCGGUUUUUAUUUGUCAGGACGCAGAAACAACAGGCGUUAAUUAUUAUUGGCGUUCAUUCAAACAAUUGUUCUGUUCUAAAGGGACACGUGCAAUUUGGAAUACUUAACCUACCCUUAACGUUUUAGGGUGGUUACUAUAGUCGACCGGCUGACAUCGGAAGUUAUAAUGUCCCGUUAGCCAACCCGAUACACCAAUCUGUGGAAGGCAAUAGAAGAAGAAUACAAUUCCUAGUUAGUGCCAUCGGGAAGAUUUUACUCGUCGUCCGUUCAAAGAAGUGUCGCACUUUUCGAGCUUUCAGCGGAAGCUUCGAUUAUUUGAAAUGGCUCUGUUUCGAAAUUGGGCUCAGGUUUGAUUUAACUUUAUCGAACUGAUCUGACUCAAUCUGAUAGUGACAAACAUAAAAAAGUAGGCCAUGAAACAGAACCUUUUCAAACUGGCAACCAACAAAACAAAAACCGAAACUGAAAAAAAAUGUGAAAGGAAGAUUUAAUUUUGUCAUAACAGAAGGUUGAAAACGUCAUUCGUCCUGGGCGGUCGACGGUCAUUGAUGCAAACUACAGCGUAGAUUAUUCCCCUUCGGUUCAGAAAGUUUAAGAUGGGCCGCUUGGUCAUAGCAAAAACAAUCAAAAAAUCAGCGAAACUAGUUUAUAAUCUUGAGUUCUUCUUUAAUGUGUUAUAUUAUAUUAUAUUCUAAGGCAUUCCAUAAAAAACAGUUGACCUUACUAAAAAUAAAAAUUGACGAACUAAUACCAUUCAAUGCCUUUCUUUAUAAUGGUGAGUAACAGUAAAGUGAAAGUUAACCCGAAUCUGGCCAAUCUUUCUAAUUUGAGUUAAAUGCCUCACGCUAAAAAAUCAUACAGAUUCAUAUGUAGAACCAUGCAAUAUUACCGUCC
Long non-coding RNA from Sabethes cyaneus, 3019 nucleotides. RefSeq lists it as uncharacterized. NCBI's taxonomy places the organism in Eukaryota, Metazoa, Arthropoda, Insecta, Diptera, Culicidae. The transcript has 3 exons. The record is from RefSeq and is a predicted model, not a curated record.